RNAcentral lists this ribosomal RNA (411 nucleotides) under Tannerella forsythia. RNAcentral describes it as "bacterial SSU rRNA". It matches the Rfam family "Bacterial small subunit ribosomal RNA", at positions 28 to 433 of the family's 1533-position model. Lineage: Bacteria; Pseudomonadati; Bacteroidota; Bacteroidia; Bacteroidales; Tannerellaceae. The record is from RNAcentral.
GAUGAACGCUAGCGAUAGGCUUAACACAUGCAAGUCGAGGGGCAUCGAGGGUAGCAAUACCUGUCGGCGACCGGCGCACGGGUGAGUAACGCGUAUGUAACCUGCCCGCAACAGAGGGAUAACCCGGCGAAAGUCGGACUAAUACCUCAUAAAACAGGGGUUCCGCAUGGGGCUAUUUGUUAAAGAUUUAUUGGUUGCGGAUGGGCAUGCGUACCAUUAGGUAGUUGGUGAGGUAACGGCUCACCAAGCCAUCGAUGGUUAGGGGCUCUGAGAGGAAGGUCCCCCACACUGGUACUGAGACACGGACCAGACUCCUACGGGAGGCAGCAGUGAGGAAUAUUGGUCAAUGGGCGAGAGCCUGAACCAGCCAAGUCGCGUGAAGGAUGACUGCCCCUAUGGGUUGUAAACUUC